This 69-nucleotide transfer RNA is filed under the name Myersina macrostoma (bigmouth shrimpgoby). RNAcentral describes it as "tRNA-Arg". It matches the Rfam family "tRNA". Rfam says of the family: Transfer RNA (tRNA) molecules are approximately 80 nucleotides in length. Their secondary structure includes four short double-helical elements and three loops (D, anti-codon, and T loops). Further hydrogen bonds mediate the characteristic L-shaped molecular structure. tRNAs have two regions of fundamental functional importance: the anti-codon, which is responsible for specific mRNA codon recognition, and the 3' end, to which the tRNAs corresponding amino acid is attached (by aminoacyl-tRNA synthetases). tRNAs cope with the degeneracy of the genetic code in two manners: having more than one tRNA (with a specific anti-codon) for a particular amino acid; and 'wobble' base-pairing, i.e. permitting non-standard base-pairing at the 3rd anti-codon position. Lineage: Eukaryota; Metazoa; Chordata; Actinopteri; Gobiiformes; Gobiidae. The record is from RNAcentral.
AGCGGGCUAUUUUAACUAAAAUAUUUGAUUUCGGCUCAAAAGCUCGCGGUUAGAUUCCGUGGCCCUCUG